This 465-nucleotide ribosomal RNA is filed under the name Vreelandella stevensii. Its description in RNAcentral is "partial 16S ribosomal RNA". It matches the Rfam family "Bacterial small subunit ribosomal RNA", at positions 338 to 795 of the family's 1533-position model. The record is from RNAcentral. Lineage: Bacteria; Pseudomonadati; Pseudomonadota; Gammaproteobacteria; Oceanospirillales; Halomonadaceae.
CCUACGGGUGGCAGCAGUGGGGAAUAUUGGACAAUGGGGGCAACCCUGAUCCAGCCAUGCCGCGUGUGUGAAGAAGGCCCUCGGGUUGUAAAGCACUUUCAGUGAGGAAGAACGCCUGGUGGUUAAUACCCAUCAGGAAAGACAUCACUCACAGAAGAAGCACCGGCUAACUCCGUGCCAGCAGCCGCGGUAAUACGGAGGGUGCGAGCGUUAAUCGGAAUUACUGGGCGUAAAGCGCGCGUAGGUGGCUUGAUAAGCCGGUUGUGAAAGCCCCGGGCUCAACCUGGGAACGGCAUCCGGAACUGUCAAGCUAGAGUGCAGGAGAGGAAGGUAGAAUUCCCGGUGUAGCGGUGAAAUGCGUAGAGAUCGGGAGGAAUACCAGUGGCGAAGGCGGCCUUCUGGACUGACACUGACACUGAGGUGCGAAAGCAUGGGUAGCAAACAGGAUUAGAUACCCCAGUAGUC